AUGUCAUAUAAUGCGAAACACUGCAAGAGGAUCACGGGUUCAAAGGUUUGGCACCAAACCAGAACACAAAGGAACCAAGUAUCAAGAGGAUCAACAUCUUGUACCUGUAAGAAUAAUUCUCUCCCCACUGACGGGAGAACUCUAGGUCAGGGUAAGGUAAAAAGUCAAAUCAGAGUCGUGAGUCCUCAUGAAAGUAUUAUCAUCGUAAGAACAUACGUGAUAACAAUAGUACCCCCUUAG
Non-coding RNA from Vicia faba (fava bean), 240 nucleotides. Lineage: Eukaryota; Viridiplantae; Streptophyta; Magnoliopsida; Fabales; Fabaceae. The record is from the annotation of a GenBank genome assembly.